UAGGGAAUCUUCGGCAAUGGACGGAAGUCUGACCGAGCAACGCCGCGUGAGUGAAGAAGGUUUUCGGAUCGUAAAGCUCUGUUGUUAGAGAAGAACGUUGGUAGGAGCGGAAAAUCUACCAAGUGACGGUAACUAACCAGAAAGGGACGGCUAACUACGUGCCAGCAGCCGCGGUAAUACGUAGGUCCCGAGCGUUGUCCGGAUUUAUUGGGCGUAAAGCGAGCGCAGGCGGUUCUUUAAGUCUGAAGUUAAAGGCAGUGGCUUAACCAUUGUACGCUUUGGAAACUGGAGGACUUGAGUGCAGAAGGGGAGAGUGGAAUUCCAUGUGUAGCGGUGAAAUGCGUAGAUAUAUGGAGGAACACCGGUGGCGAAAGCGGCUCUCUGGUCUGUAACUGACGCUGAGGCUCGAAAGCGUGGGGAGCAAACAGGAUUAGAUACCCUGGUAGUCCACGCCGUAAACGAUGAGUGCUAGGUGUUAGGCCCUUUCCGGGGCUUAGUGCCGCAGCUAACGCAUUAAGCACUCCGCCUGGGGAGUACGACCGCAAGGUUG
This 550-nucleotide ribosomal RNA is filed under the name uncultured bacterium. RNAcentral's name for it is "bacterial SSU rRNA". It matches the Rfam family "Bacterial small subunit ribosomal RNA", at positions 355 to 896 of the family's 1533-position model. The record is from RNAcentral.